This is a non-coding RNA of Myodes glareolus (Bank vole), 2726 nucleotides long. Lineage: Eukaryota; Metazoa; Chordata; Mammalia; Rodentia; Cricetidae. The record is from RefSeq and is a predicted model, not a curated record.
CAGAAAUAAAGGGAAAAGCCCUGAGGUAAAGGGUAGGUAAAGAGAAACCAGUUAAUUUAAGUUAAGGAAAAGAAAGCUGGAAACGAGUCUAAGCUAGGCCGGGAGUUUAAAACUAAUAAGAAGUCUCUGUGUCAUGAUUUUGGGAGCUGGUUGGUGGCCCUAGAAUAAAAAGCCUGGUACCCUAACUAGGUAUCAGAAUGUAAUAAAUUUUUAAAAUCCACUCCAAACAGAAGGAGCAUGUGUUAGUAGCAGUAGUGUAAAAUUAUUAUUUCAGUAGUCUUAAAAAAUUUAGGUACUUAUUUUCUGUGUGUGUGUGUACUGCCUGCAUCUGUCUGUGUACCAAGUUCAUGCCUGGAGCUUGUGGAGGCCGGAAAAGGGAUUUGGUCUGCUGAAACUGGUGUUACAGAUGGGUGUGAAGCACUGUGUGGGUGCUGGGAAUUGAAUCUAGUUCUUUUGGAAGAGUAGCUAGUGUUCUGAACUGCUGAUCCAUCUUUCUCCAGCCCCAUGAAAUUAAUGUUGCAUGAGUAACUUGUAUUUUUCUUUAAGUAGCAUGCCUGCUAGGAUAAGAAACCAAGCACAUUCUCCCUUCUCUUAGAUUUUCCUAAGAUGGUGUAUUGUAGCCAUCAAUAUUGUUAUCAUCAAUAGCAUUAUUAUUGAACUAAUGAUCACAUCGUCUUUCUUUAUUCACACAAAAGUAAUCUUUAAUUAAAAAACACAGUGCUAAGCUUCUAUUAAAAAUUCAAUAUAUGUGUGUGUGCGCGCACGUGCGCGCUAAAAAUCUCACACUGACACUUCCUUGAGAUUUGUAUGCAUUUGCUUCAUACUAAAACAUGAGGUGCUCGUUACCCAUCUUUCACGGGAACUUCAAGUACACGGCUGUUCAGAGGCUUUGUUUUUGAGGCUUAAGCUAAGUUAUGUUGACUUGUUUUACAUAGAAUCAAGAGAUUAUGUCUUUUAAAAGGACAUCUUAUUAAGUAAUUGAAAAACAAAACCAAACUAAACCACUGCCAGUUAUAAAGGCAGUUAAUGAAUUUAUAUUUCGUGUCUUCAUAUAAAUGGAAUGCUACGACAUGCGUACUGUGUGUGUUCCUUUGAGUCAGCCAGUCGUUGAGAUGGCCCCUUAGGGGAUGAUCUUAGCUCUUAUCAAUGACUGGAAAUCUGUAACUUCCCCAGACUGUGACUUGAAGUCUGUUUUACUAUCAGUUUAUUCUUUGGUGCUGGCUCCCUCUGUAGAACUUCACUAAUACUGCAGCUUGAUUUUUCAGUAAUGUAACAACAAUUAAGUUAUUAUGUAGACUAGAUUGGGACCUUUCCUUGAAGUUUUAGUUAAUACUUAAUCAGUUUCAUGUGACAUUUUGAACAUGGAGUCAUCCCUCAAGCCCCCCCUUUUUGUUGUUGUUUUGUUUCUUAAUGUUUACCAUUAUGAAAAUACUUCCCACAGUAAAGGUCCCCCAAUCCAUGCAAUAAUGCAUUAACUUGUAUUAUUCUUGAAAUUGUUUUAUGUUAGAAAUUGUUUUAAUGAGAAAUUAAAAAUAUUGCCUAAAUAUCACAAGUAAUGUAAAUCCUUCACUUUGGUUGCUCUCUUUAUACUUUUUUUUAAGCAGAGAACAACAAAAAAGUUUUCCUACAACAUUUCAAUCAACCUUCUUUAUAAGUACUUCUUACUUUAGCAACCUCUUUGUAUCAAGUUUACACAGUUACUGUAGCUGCUCUUUUGGGUUAAGCUAUUUAAAAAUGAAUUUUAAGAUUCUCUAAUCAGAUAUAUUUUCUUUUCUUAAAUAUGUUAUUCUGGGCUUUGAAUGUAGCUCAGUGAUUUUGAGUGCUUACCUAGCCUUUGCAAGGCUCUGUGUGUGUGUGUGUGUGUCUGUAUAUCUGUGUAUAUGUCUGUACAGUGGGUAAGAGCAUAAACAUUUUAGGUAUUGGAACUCUCAAAAGCCGUGGGAUUUGCUGCACCCCUAUCAGAGAGCUCCCUCCUGCAGUAGAUGGGACUUAACAGAGAGAUCCACAACUGGACAACACACAGAGCGGCGACAGCGAUGCCAUGACUGUGGUCUUUACAUGUGCUGCCGAGGCGAGGAGCCACUGUGCUGCUUCAUUGUUUACUGCGCUACCCUUUUGCCGUCAUUUUGGUCGUCAUCCGUCUCUUCUAGAAGAAUGUAAACUUCAUGCUGUUUCCCUCAUCAACACCAUGUUGUGCAUACAGUGGAAGACUUGCAUAUCUAAUUAUUUGUUAUACUCUAACUGAAUAAUUAUGGCAAGUUGGUCAAAAGGAAAUUAUUUAACUUUUCCCUUGAGUUGAGAUUUACAUAAUGAUGAUGAGUAUCCUGUACUUUUAAAUCUACUUUUCUGAAAUCUAUUAAUAUUAUUAUUUGUAGUGCUUGGGCCUUUUGAGGGCCAGCAAAUAACUCUACCCUGGAGAAACAACCCUUCUCCCAUAAUGCUUUAAUAUUGAUGGCUUACAAGGUUUAUGUCACUGGAAUUUUUGGAUUCAAAGUAAUGCUAAUAUAUCCACUUUCUCAGAGAUUUUCAGUGUUGACCAAGGUAUUGAUUCUUGUUAGAAAUGUUGGUAAAACAAGAAUUUAUGACUAGUUGGUUUGUAUGUCCUUUACAAUUCUAUUGGUAUAUGUUUGGGUAGAUUGUUAAAAAUAGCUUUUUUCUAUGUGUUUAAAAGGCAGUUUGGUUUAGCUAAUUUUUGCUUGUCAAUAAAGCUGAGAAUUUUCUGUUUU